RNAcentral lists this ribosomal RNA (253 nucleotides) under uncultured bacterium. RNAcentral's name for it is "partial 16S ribosomal RNA". It matches the Rfam family "Bacterial small subunit ribosomal RNA", at positions 524 to 776 of the family's 1533-position model. The record is from RNAcentral.
UACGGGGGGGGCAAGCGUUGUUCGGAAUUACUGGGCGUAAAGGGCUCGUAGGCGGCCAACUAAGUCAGACGUGAAAUCCCCAGGCUCAACCUGGGAACUGCGUCUGAUACUGGAUGGCUUGAAUCCGGGAGAGGGAUGCAGAAUUCCAGGUGUAGCGGUGAAAUGCGUAGAUAUCUGGAGGAAUACCGGUGGCGAAGGCGGCAUCCUGGACCGGCAUUGACGCUGAGGAGCGAAAGCCAGGGGGGCAAACGGG